Long non-coding RNA from Ailuropoda melanoleuca (giant panda), 478 nucleotides. RefSeq lists it as uncharacterized. The transcript is spliced from 3 exons. The record is from RefSeq and is a predicted model, not a curated record. NCBI's taxonomy places the organism in Eukaryota, Metazoa, Chordata, Mammalia, Carnivora, Ursidae.
ACACACACACACACACACACACACAGUGCAAAAUCACUUCUAUCCUACUGGUUCCUGAACACUUAAUUUGUGCCUCUCUAAAACAUAAGGAUUUAAAGACAUAGGCUGACUAGUUUCUUGCUGUUUCAAACCUGAGAUAUCAAACAGAAGGAGGAAAAAAAAAAAAAAAAACGAAAAAAAACCCAGCUAGUCUGUCUUCAAAGAGUUCCGAAAUUCCAUGAGCACUCUCACAAAACCUGAGGUCCACGUUCCCUGCUACUAAGGAUGGUCUACACGCCCCAGUGACGAUGAGUUUGCCUGUAAAAACAUGGAAGAGAUUCGUGAAGGUUCGGUGCAUUCCAACAUGGUGCUCUUGGGAUGGGAAGGCCUUUCCUGGCAGCAUUCCAUGAUUAGAAGUCUGCAGCGUUCAAGACCUCAGAAGAUACCCAGUCCUCAGAAGGAACCUCAGUGUGAGACACUGUCCAGGCCGGUGGCAAGG